RNAcentral lists this ribosomal RNA (253 nucleotides) under uncultured bacterium. RNAcentral describes it as "partial 16S ribosomal RNA". It matches the Rfam family "Bacterial small subunit ribosomal RNA", at positions 524 to 776 of the family's 1533-position model. The record is from RNAcentral.
UACGUAGGGCGCAAGCGUUGUCCGGAAUUAUUGGGCGUAAAGAGCUCGUAGGCGGUUUGUCGCGUCUGCUGUGAAAACGCGGGGCUUAACCCCGGGCCUGCAGUGGGUACGGGCAGACUAGAGUGCGGUAGGGGAGACUGGAAUUCCUGGUGUAGCGGUGGAAUGCGCAGAUAUCAGGAGGAACACCGAUGGCGAAGGCGGGUCUCUGGGCCGUUACUGACGCUGAGGAGCGAAAGCAUGGGGAGCGAACAGG